GUUUCCGUAGUGUAGCGGUCAUUAGGCGCGCCUAACACGGGCAGGUCCCCAGUUCGAUCCUGGGCGAAAACA
Non-coding RNA from Paramuricea clavata, 72 nucleotides. The record is from the annotation of a GenBank genome assembly. NCBI's taxonomy places the organism in Eukaryota, Metazoa, Cnidaria, Anthozoa, Malacalcyonacea, Plexauridae.